Molecule: ribosomal RNA, 459 nt
Filed under: uncultured bacterium
Lineage: Bacteria
Description: partial 16S ribosomal RNA
Rfam family: Bacterial small subunit ribosomal RNA
Source: RNAcentral
CCUACGGGAGGCAGCAGUGAGGAAUAUUGGUCAAUGGACGGAAGUCUGAACCAGCCAUGCCGCGUGCAGGAAGACGGCUCUAUGAGUUGUAACCUGCUUUUGUACAAGGGUAAACCUGAAUACGUGUAUUCAGCUGAAAGUACUGUACGAAUAUGGAUCGGCUCACUCAGUUCCAGCAGCCGCGAUAGUACGGAGGAUCCAAGCGUUAUCCGGAUUUUUUGGGGUUAAAGGGUGCGUAGGCGGAAUAUCAAGUCAGCGGUAAAAAUUCGGGGCUCAACCCCGUCGUGCCGUUGAAACUGAUGUUCUUGAGUGGGCGAGAGGUAUGCGGAAUGCGUGGUGUAGCGGUGAAAUGCAUAGAUAUCACGCAGAACUCCGGUUGCGAAGGCAGAAUACCGGCGCCCAACUGACGCUGAAGCACGAAAGCGUGGGUAUCGAACAGGAUUAGAUACCCGAGUAGUC